Molecule: ribosomal RNA, 467 nt
Filed under: uncultured bacterium
Lineage: Bacteria
Description: partial 16S ribosomal RNA
Rfam family: Bacterial small subunit ribosomal RNA
Source: RNAcentral
ACGAACGCUGGCGGCGUGCUUAACACAUGCAAGUCGAACGGAAAGGCCCUGCUUUUGUGGGGUGCUCGAGUGGCGAACGGGUGAGUAACACGUGAGUAACCUGCCCUUGACUUUGGGAUAACUUCAGGAAACUGGGGCUAAUACCGGAUAGGAGCUCCUGCUGCAUGGUGGGGGUUGGAAAGUUUCGGCGGUUGGGGAUGGACUCGCGGCUUAUCAGCUUGUUGGUGGGGUAGUGGCUUACCAAGGCUUUGACGGGUAGCCGGCCUGAGAGGGUGACCGGCGACAUUGGGACUGAGAUACGGCACAGACUCCGACGGGAGGCAGCAGUGGGGAAUAUUGCACAAUGGGCGGAAGCCUGAUGCAGCAACGCCGCGUGCGGGAUGACGGCCUUCGGGUUGUAAAACGCUUUCGCCUGUGACGAAGCGUGAGUGACGGUAAUGGGUAAAGAAGCACCGGCUAACUACGUG